GAUGAACGCUGGCGGCGUGCCUAACACAUGCAAGUCGAACGAAGCACUGUGGAUGGAGACUUCGGUCAACUGAAACUUUGACUUAGUGGCGGACGGGUGAGUAACGCGUGAGUAACCUGCCCUGGAGUGGGGGACAACAGUUGGAAACGACUGCUAAUACCGCAUAAGCCCACGGUACCGCAUGGUACAGAGGGAAAAGGAGCAAUUCGCUUCAGGAUGGACUCGCGUCUGAUUAGCUAGUUGGUGAGGUAACGGCCCACCAAGGCGACGAUCAGUAGCCGGACUGAGAGGUUGAACGGCCACAUUGGGACUGAGACACGGCCCAGACUCCUACGGGAGGCAGCAGUGGGGAAUAUUGCACAAUGGGCGAAAGCCUGAUGCAGCAACGCCGCGUGAGGGAAGACGGCCUUCGGGUUGUAAACCGUCUGUCCUCAGUGACGAAGAAAGUGACGGUAGCUGAGGA
RNAcentral lists this ribosomal RNA (463 nucleotides) under uncultured bacterium. Its description in RNAcentral is "bacterial SSU rRNA". It matches the Rfam family "Bacterial small subunit ribosomal RNA", at positions 28 to 485 of the family's 1533-position model. The record is from RNAcentral.